This is an RNA transcript of Myotis daubentonii (Daubenton's bat), 1816 nucleotides long. It is a transcript of the gene named P2R1A-PPP2R2A-interacting phosphatase regulator 1-like, with no coding region annotated. NCBI's taxonomy places the organism in Eukaryota, Metazoa, Chordata, Mammalia, Chiroptera, Vespertilionidae. The record is from RefSeq and is a predicted model, not a curated record.
GCAAGCGCAGAAGGGCGACGCCCAACUUAAACACCAAGAUAGCUGGUGUAGUCUUUGCUUACCUGAUUUUUGCCUUGGCUCAGCAAAAUAAAAGAGAAGGAUUUGCGGACGUAAACUAAGACAAAUUCAUUUUCAAUAUAGGUUUGGAGGCGGAAGAUCUCAGCGUUAGUGACCCCGAGCUUGAAGGCGGGGGAGGGGGGUAUUGUCGGUUCGGAGCCAGCACUGCCCCACUUUGUGCCUGCUAUUAUUAGGGCUGGUAAGGUAGCAACGGUGAGCACUUCUAAUAGCUUCCUCCUCUCUUCUCUUCUCCCCACUUUCUCCCUACAUCAUCUCCUCACCAAGUUGACCUGUCCGUAUGCCAGAAAACCUUGAGAUCAUAGAACUAGGCAGUAGCUUCUGCCUCAACACGGACAUGGCACAGGAGAAAAUGGAACUAGGCGUGGAGCUGCUGCCAAGUUCAACCAUCACAGCCGGCACAUCCUGAGAAGAUCCAACAGCGCCCCUUUGAUCAUUGAGCUUGGUGAUAAUUCACUGGCGUUCCAACCUGACAGAAUAAGAACUAGAAGAAACAGUACAACAUUUAUGACACAACACUGUCUGGAAGAAGGCAUGGAUUUAAUAACUAAAGAAGCAAUGAAUGAAUGGGAGAUACAAACUACAAUACAGAUACAUCAGUCUUGGGAAGAAAAAGUGAACUUGGUGAAAUUAUAUUUGAAGAUCAGCCAAAGAGAUUUUUCCAAGGCAAACCCAAUGUGUUUUCUUCUGAUACUACCCAGCUGUCUGAUAUAAAUAUGUGAUCAUUGGAAAAAUAUCCUCGGGUGAAGAUUAACAAAAAAACACAACAAAAAACAAAACAGAAACCCUUAGCAUAAUGCUCUCCAGUUCCAUCCAUGCUGUUGCAAAUGUUAUUGGUACCAUGUUUUAGACAGUCGAGCUGCCUCCAGAUUGAUUGGCCUCUCUAUUGCAAGGCACUUCGCAAGAUGACAGUGACAGCAGAUGUAGAAUACAUUUCUUGUCCUUGAUCUGAUCACAGUUCUGAUCAACCUAGCAUAUACAUUGGUCUUCUUUCCAGCCUAAUGAAUCAUUUGCCUUUAAUUCCUUUUGUUAUUCCUCAAACAUGGUAGGCACUAUUUAAAAGAGCCUGGUGCCCAACUGGUGUGGCUCAGUGGUUGAGCAUCGAUCUAUGAACCAAGGAGGUCACGGUUCGAUUCCUGGUCAGGGCACAUACCCGGGUUGCAGUCUCCAUCCCCAGUAGAGGGCAUGCUGGAGGCAGACAAUCAAUGAUUCUCAUAAGUGAGGUUUCUAUCUCUCUCCCUCUCUGAAAUCAAUAAAAUAUUUUAAAAAUAAAAAUAAAAGAGCCUGGUAAACUGUAUAUUCCAGCUCCAUAUAGCAUCAAACCCAAUGCCUUCCACCAGGCAUAUAUGCCUGUCUGCUUAGUUUUUUUCAAGAGAGUAGUUUUCUGAUUGGAGGGACUGCAUCUUGGUACACAGUUUACAUAGAAUGCUUCAUAUACUUGCUAAGCAAAAAUAACUUUAAAUCUUCAAUUUAAAAAAAAAUAUUUUUUUAUUGAUUUCAGAGAGGAAGGGAGAGGGAGAGAGAGAUAGAAACAUCAAUAAUGAGAGAGUCAUUGAUGGGCUGCCUCCUGCACACCCCACACUGGGGAUCGAGCCCACAACUUGGGCAUGUGCCCUUGACAGGAAUUGAACCCAGGACCCUUCAGUCCACAGGCUGACACAUUAUCCACUGAGCCAAACCAGCUAGGGCUGAAUCUUCAACUUUUGAAGAGUUUUACAUUUAUGCUAUUUUAAAGAUUAAC